RNAcentral lists this ribosomal RNA (1238 nucleotides) under Staphylococcus aureus. Its description in RNAcentral is "partial 23S ribosomal RNA". It matches the Rfam family "Bacterial large subunit ribosomal RNA", at positions 1585 to 2824 of the family's 2925-position model. The record is from RNAcentral. Lineage: Bacteria; Bacillati; Bacillota; Bacilli; Caryophanales; Staphylococcaceae.
UUCGAGUCGUUGAUUUCACACUGCCGAGAAAAGCCUCUAGAUAGAAAAUAGGUGCCCGUACCGCAAACCGACACAGGUAGUCAAGAUGAGAAUUCUAAGGUGAGCGAGCGAACUCUCGUUAAGGAACUCGGCAAAAUGACCCCGUAACUUCGGGAGAAGGGGUGCUCUUUAGGGUUAACGCCCAGAAGAGCCGCAGUGAAUAGGCCCAAGCGACUGUUUAUCAAAAACACAGGUCUCUGCUAAACCGUAAGGUGAUGUAUAGGGGCUGACGCCUGCCCGGUGCUGGAAGGUUAAGAGGAGUGGUUAGCUUCUGCGAAGCUACGAAUCGAAGCCCCAGUAAACGGCGGCCGUAACUAUAACGGUCCUAAGGUAGCGAAAUUCCUUGUCGGGUAAGUUCCGACCCGCACGAAAGGCGUAACGAUUUGGGCACUGUCUCAACGAGAGACUCGGUGAAAUCAUAGUACCUGUGAAGAUGCAGGUUACCCGCGACAGGACGGAAAGACCCCGUGGAGCUUUACUGUAGCCUGAUAUUGAAAUUCGGCACAGCUUGUACAGGAUAGGUAGGAGCCUUUGAAACGUGAGCGCUAGCUUACGUGGAGGCGCUGGUGGGAUACUACCCUAGCUGUGUUGGCUUUCUAACCCGCACCACUUAUCGUGGUGGGAGACAGUGUCAGGCGGGCAGUUUGACUGGGGCGGUCGCCUCCUAAAAGGUAACGGAGGCGCUCAAAGGUUCCCUCAGAAUGGUUGGAAAUCAUUCAUAGAGUGUAAAGGCAUAAGGGAGCUUGACUGCGAGACCUACAAGUCGAGCAGGGUCGAAAGACGGACUUAGUGAUCCGGUGGUUCCGCAUGGAAGGGCCAUCGCUCAACGGAUAAAAGCUACCCCGGGGAUAACAGGCUUAUCUCCCCCAAGAGUUCACAUCGACGGGGAGGUUUGGCACCUCGAUGUCGGCUCAUCGCAUCCUGGGGCUGUAGUCGGUCCCAAGGGUUGGGCUGUUCGCCCAUUAAAGCGGUACGCGAGCUGGGUUCAGAACGUCGUGAGACAGUUCGGUCCCUAUCCGUCGUGGGCGUAGGAAAUUUGAGAGGAGCUGUCCUUAGUACGAGAGGACCGGGAUGGACAUACCUCUGGUGUACCAGUUGUCGUGCCAACGGCAUAGCUGGGUAGCUAUGUGUGGACGGGAUAAGUGCUGAAAGCAUCUAAGCAUGAAGCCCCCCUCAAGAUGAGAUUUCCCAACUUCGGU